UACGGGGGGGGCAAGCGUUGUUCGGAAUUACUGGGCGUAAAGGGCUCGUAGGCGGCCAACUAAGUCAUACGUGAAAUCCCUCGGCUUAACCGGGGAACUGCGUCUGAUACUGGAUGGCUUGAGUUCGGGAGAGGGAUGCGGAAUUCCAGGUGUAGCGGUGAAAUUCGUAGAUAUCGGGAGGAACACCAGUGGCGAAGGCGGCGAUCUGGGAAGAUACUGACGCUGAGGUGCGAAAGCGUGGGGAGCAAACAGG
RNAcentral lists this ribosomal RNA (253 nucleotides) under uncultured bacterium. RNAcentral's name for it is "partial 16S ribosomal RNA". It matches the Rfam family "Bacterial small subunit ribosomal RNA", at positions 524 to 776 of the family's 1533-position model. The record is from RNAcentral.